GACGAACGCUGGCGGCGUGCUUAACACAUGCAAGUCGUACGGUAAGGCCCUUUCGGGGGUACACGAGUGGCGAACGGGUGAGUAACCCGUGCGUAACCUGCCCACAACUUUGCGAUAACGCUAGGAAACUGGUGCUAAUACUGGAUAUGUGCUCCUGCUGCCUGGUGGGGGUUGGAAAGCUCCGGCGGCUGUGGAUGGACUCGCGGCCUAUCCGCUUGUUGGUGGGGUAGUGGCCUACGAAGGCGGCGACGGGUAGCCGGCCGGAGAGGGUGACCGGGCACAGUGGGACUGAGAUACAGCCCAGACUCCUACGGGGAGGAGCAGUAGCGAAGAGUGCACAAUGAGCGCGAGCCUGAGGCUGCAACGCCGCGGGCGGGAUGACGGCCUUCGGGUUGUAAACCGAUUUCAGCAGGGACGAAGCUGUUAGUGACGGUACCUGCAGAAGAAGCACCGGCUAACUACGUG
Molecule: ribosomal RNA, 465 nt
Filed under: uncultured bacterium
Lineage: Bacteria
Description: partial 16S ribosomal RNA
Rfam family: Bacterial small subunit ribosomal RNA
Source: RNAcentral